CUCUUAUUCUUUUAGUGCAAGUAAAAACUUGUGGUGAAAUCAUUCGCUUUCCUCUUUGUGGAUUUGGACGAAUCUAGUUCUGCAAAUAUAUACCUUCUACAACCCUAAAAAAUACAGCAAGACCUGUCAAAAGAUCUAACCCUAACUGAAAGGUAGUUGUCUUUUGUGUAUACACGUAUGUGACGUUCGUAAGAGAGCACAGCGUCAGAUGCAGCCAUGUAUGCGUGUGCUGGACAUGCAGAGAAUUGCAAGUCUGAAUGGGAAUAAAAAAACAUUAAAAAGUGCAGCUGCUAUAUUCAUAACUUGUCUUAGUACUGUCUUCCUGUUGUGUCUAGCAGCUCUGAGAUGACUGCAGGCAUGCCCACUAGAAAGCUUCCUCCUCUACUCUCCACUACUGAGCAUGUGCAGCACAGUUUCAGGCAUUGUAACUAAGGGCCUAAGAGUCGUAUGAAGAUACCGAGUAUACAGAACAGGACAUAACACAGGAGAGAUCCGCAAAAUACAUAUGGUCGUGUGAAUGCUUCCUAAGGAAAAGGACAGAAGAAAUGAGAGUUGAGAAGAUACAGAGUAUGAGAGACAAGAAAGAGUGCAAGAGAGGUGAGAAAAUUCAGAGUACAAGAGACAGGGCUACGGUUAGAACACAUGAGAAAAUAUGGCGUAUAAAGGGCAGGAGAGAACACAGGAGAGGUGAGAAGAUACUGAACAUAAAGAACAGCGGAGAAGGCAGAAGAGGUCAGAAGAUAUCAUGUAUACGGAACAGGACAUAACACAAACAGGGCAGAUCCGAAAACACAUAAGGUGCAUUCAAGCGACCAUAAGGAAAAGGACAGACGAAAGGAGAGUUGAGAAGAAACCAAGUAUAAUGAACAGCGCAAGAGAGGUGAGAAGAUACUGAGUAUAAGGGGCAGGGGAGUACACUGGCGAGGUGAGAAGUUGCUGAGUAUAAGGGACAGGACAGAACACAGACAGGGCAGGUGAGAAGAUACAAAAGUAUAAGAACCAGGAGAGAACAAAGGAGAGGUGAAAAGAUACUGAGAAUAAGCGACGGGGAGUAAAGGAUAGGGGAGAAGAUUUUGAGUAUAAGGAACAGGCAAGGACAAAGGAGAAGUGAGAAGGCAGAGUAUAAAGGGCAGGACAGAACACAGGACAGGUGAGAAGACACCAAGUAUAGGGAACAGGACACAGGAGAAGUGAGAAGAUAUCCACCAUAAGGAACAGGACAGAACACAGGAGAGGUGAGAAGAUACCGAGUAUAAGGGAGAGGGGAGAACCCAGGGCAGAUGAGAAGAUACUGAAUAUAAGGGACAGGGUAGAACAGAGGAGAGAAGAUACAGAGUAUAAGAGACAGGACAGGUGAGGGGAUACCAAAUAUAAGGAACAGGACAAAACACAGAACAGGUGAGAAGAUACCGAGUAUAAGAGACAGGACAGAACACAGGACAGGUGAGGGGAUACCGAGUAUAAGUAACAGGACAGAAAACGGGGAUACAGAGUAUGAGGAACAGGACAGGAUGGAGGGGAGGUGAGAAGACACCAAGUAUAAGGAACAGGACAGAAAACAGAAGGGAGAAUGUACAGAGUAUAAGGCUACAUGCA
This is a long non-coding RNA of Bufo bufo (common toad), 1596 nucleotides long. RefSeq lists it as uncharacterized. The transcript is spliced from 3 exons. Lineage: Eukaryota; Metazoa; Chordata; Amphibia; Anura; Bufonidae. The record is from RefSeq and is a predicted model, not a curated record.